GCUUCGGUCUGUAAACUGCUUUUCUGGAGGAUGACUCCCGCAAGGGAAGACAGUACUCCAGGAAUAAGGGGGUGCCAAUUCUGUGCCAGCAGCCGCGGUAAGACAGAACCCCCAAGCGUUAUCCGGAUUUAUUGGGCGUAAAGGGUCCGUAGGCGCCCCACCAAGUUUUCUGUUAAACCUCCUGGGCUCAACCUAGGAGCUGCAGAAAAAACUGGCGGGGUAGAGGGCAUUAGAGGUGGAUGGAACGGUCGGUGUAGGGGUGAAAUCCGUUGAUAUCGACCGGAACACCAAAGGCGAAGGUAUUCCACUGGGGUGGCCCUGACGCUGAGGGACGAAAGCGUGGGGAGCAAAAAGGAUUAGAUACCCUUGUAGUCCACGCUGUAAAUUAUGGACACUGGCUAUCUGAAGUGUCGACCCUUCGGGUGGCGAAGCUUACGCGUUAAGUGUCCCGCCUGGGAAGUACGGCCGCAAGGCUAAAACUCAAAGGAAUAGACGGGGAUCUACACAAGCGGUGGACCAUGUGGCUCAAUUCGACAACAAACGAGGAACCUUACCAGGGCUU
This 562-nucleotide ribosomal RNA is filed under the name uncultured bacterium. Its description in RNAcentral is "bacterial SSU rRNA". It matches the Rfam family "Bacterial small subunit ribosomal RNA", at positions 415 to 982 of the family's 1533-position model. The record is from RNAcentral.